GCUGCUGUGGCUGUACCACUUACCGACCUCACCAAGAAAGGUAAACCCAAUACCUUGGUUUGGGAAUCACCUCAUGAAAGGGCAUUCAAGGAAUUGAAGGAACGAGUGACGAUGUCACCAAUUCUCCGAAUGGCAGAUUUAGGUAAGCCAUUUAUUCUACGUACAGACGCCUCUAAUGUAGGUUUAGGGGCAGUACUUCUGCAAGAACAUGAGGAUGGUAAGUUUCCGGUAGCAUAUGCAAGUCGUAAAUUGCUGCAAAGGGAAAGAAAUUAUUCGGUGGUUGAGAAAGAAUGCCUUGCAGUUGUGUGGGGAAUACAGAAAUUCCACACAUACUUAUAUGGUAAGAAGUUUCUGUUAGAAACAGACCACAUGCCACUGGUAUAUCUGAACAAGGCAAAGGAUUCUAAUGGCAGAAUCAUGCGUUGGGCUCUUGUUUUGCAGGCUUACCGGUUCACUGUUGUUGCUAUAAAGGGAACUGAAAAUGUCGGGGCUGAUUAUCUCAGUCGAAAAUCUGGGACAUGAGUCAUGAACCUAGUCUUGACACAAAUCCAAAAGGUUGAGACAGAAAUUGGGAAUUUCAUCUUAAGUAGGGGGGUGUGUCAAAGAAAUAGGGUUGUUUUUUUUUGUGUGUGUAAAUGUUAAUAUAGUUAAUUAGAAUAGCAAGUAUAAAUGUUACUAUAAACCGGCUGCGGGAUACACAUCCAAGAGUACUGAAAGCCCUGAAAUCAUAAAUCAUACGGUCAAAUCUAAUGGGAAAUUUAGGGUCAGGUCUGGGGUAUGGGGAUACUUUUGUUUAUUCAAGGAAGCCUGGUUAGUGUAUGGCAGAGUUCGAGAGUUUUCUGUGUGUUUCUGAGUCAGUUGAAUUUGGGCUUAAGACCAGAGCGUUUGUUGUUUGGAAGGAGGUGCCAUCAGAAUUUCUGAUCGUCGGCCACAUUGUGGAGGCAUCUAGAGUGUUGUGUUUAUAGAAGGAAUCUAAAUGGGAUCCCAUUUUUGUUGGUGUAAGAAUUACGAUGAAGAAAGUUGAUGGAAAAGGGGAUAGAAGAUAGAAGUUUAAUAAGACGUAUGAUGCAUACUAGAACUAGUUGAAUAUUGGCCAUCAGUUUCAUAAAGACAACUACAAAUAAAUUAUACAGAGAAACGCACUGACAGGAAGGAAGCAUUCAUAUCAUAGUAAACCUCAAAAAGUGUAGCAGUGAUGUGCACUGUGUAGUUCCGAUUGGGUAACUGGAAAGAACUGGACCUGAGAACUGAAUAUAUAUUUAUGACGUUCACAGCGGAGCACAGCAAGAACAUUUGUUUUUACCAUUUGACAUUCGAUCAUCAUGGAUAAUCUAAACUGAAAUUUCUUAUUUGUUUUUAAAUGUGCAUGCUUUUAGAAUAGAAAUUAAAGCAUGAAAAUUAAAUAGAUAAAUAGAUAAAUAAACUUUGUAAUCCUC
This is a long non-coding RNA of Dreissena polymorpha, 1436 nucleotides long. RefSeq lists it as uncharacterized. NCBI's taxonomy places the organism in Eukaryota, Metazoa, Mollusca, Bivalvia, Myida, Dreissenidae. The transcript has 2 exons. The record is from RefSeq and is a predicted model, not a curated record.